CUACAUUGGGACUUUGCACCAGAUAUUGCCCUAGCAGAACAGGUGAGAAGAAAGUUUGGGUCCACCGUACACUUCUCACCUUCCCGGGACAACAAGGAAUUAUUUCUAGUGGUUUCAUUCUCUUCGGCCUCCUUCCCUCUCACGGUUGAUUCGGUUGGUAUUGCUCUCCAAUGUUGCAUUGGUGGUAUUUGUUCUGGUCAACUUGACUCAAAUCAACUCUCGCUCUUUUCGGUUCUCGGUGGCUAA
RNAcentral lists this ribosomal RNA (246 nucleotides) under Triticum aestivum (bread wheat). RNAcentral describes it as "partial small subunit ribosomal RNA". The record is from RNAcentral. Lineage: Eukaryota; Viridiplantae; Streptophyta; Magnoliopsida; Poales; Poaceae.